AUUGAACGCUGGCGGCAGGCCUAACACAUGCAAGUCGGACGGUAGCACAGGGGAGCUUGCUCCUCGGGUGACGAGUGGCGGACGGGUGAGUAAUGUCUGGGGAUCUGCCCGAUAGAGGGGGAUAACCACUGGAAACGGUGGCUAAUACCGCAUAAUGUCGCAAGACCAAAGAGGGGGACCUUCGGGCCUCUCACUAUCGGAUGAACCCAGAUGGGAUUAGCUAGUAGGCGGGGUAACGGCCCACCUAGGCGACGAUCCCUAGCUGGUCUGCGGGAAUGACACACCACCCUGGAACUGAGACACGGUCCAGACGCCUACGGGAGGCAGCAGUGGGGAAUAUUGCACAAUGGGCGCAAGCCUGAUGCAGCCAUGCCGCGUGUAUGAAGAAGGCCUUCGGGUUGUAAAGUACUUUCAGCGGGGAGGAAGGCGAUGUGGUUAAUAACCGCGUCGAUUGACGUUACCCGCAGAAGAAGCACCGGCUAACUCCGUGCCAGCAGCAGCCGCGG
RNAcentral lists this ribosomal RNA (506 nucleotides) under uncultured bacterium. RNAcentral describes it as "partial 16S ribosomal RNA". It matches the Rfam family "Bacterial small subunit ribosomal RNA", at positions 29 to 523 of the family's 1533-position model. The record is from RNAcentral.